This 497-nucleotide ribosomal RNA is filed under the name uncultured bacterium. RNAcentral describes it as "partial 16S ribosomal RNA". It matches the Rfam family "Bacterial small subunit ribosomal RNA", at positions 28 to 507 of the family's 1533-position model. The record is from RNAcentral.
GAUGAGCGCUGGCGGCGUGCCUAAUACAUGCAAGUCGAGCGAACAGACGAGGAGCUUGCUCCUCUGACGUUAGCGGCGGACGGGUGAGUAACACGUGGAUAACCUACCUAUAAGACUGGGAUAACUUCGGGAAACCGGAGCUAAUACCGGAUAAUAUAUUGAACCGCAUGGUUCAAUAGUGAAAGACGGUUUUGCUGUCACUUAUAGAUGGAUCCGCGCCGCAUUAGCUAGUUGGUAAGGUAACGGCUUACCAAGGCAACGAUGCGUAGCCGACCUGAGAGGGUGAUCGGCCACACUGGAACUGAGACACGGUCCAGACUCCUACGGGAGGCAGCAGUAGGGAAUCUUCCGCAAAGGGCGAAAGCUUGACGGAGCAACGCCGCGUGAGUGAUGAAGGUCUUCGGAUCGUAAAACUCUGUUAUUAGGGAAGAACAAAUGUGUAAGUAACUAUGCACGUCUUGACGGUACCUAAUCAGAAAGCCACGGCUAACUACGUG